UACGUAGGGGGCAAGCGUUGUCCGGAUUUAUUGGGCGUAAAGAGCGUGUAGGCGGCUUGGUAGGUCCGCUGUGAAAACUCGAGGCUCAACCUCGAGAUGUCGGCGGAAACCACUUGGCUAGAGUCCGGAAGAGGAGAGUGGAAUUCCCGGUGUAGCGGUGAAAUGCGCAGAUAUCGGGAAGAACACCUGUGGCGAAGGCGGCCCCCUGGGCCGCGCCUGACGCUGAGACGCGAAGGCUAGGGGAGCGAACGGG
Molecule: ribosomal RNA, 253 nt
Filed under: uncultured bacterium
Lineage: Bacteria
Description: partial 16S ribosomal RNA
Rfam family: Bacterial small subunit ribosomal RNA
Source: RNAcentral